UACUUAGCUUACACUAGCCUACUCCUUUGGAAAAUAAAUAAAAAUGUUUAUUCAACUUAAACAAAUGCAUUCCUCCAAAAACAGUGCAAACGUGCAAAAACAGUAGCAGUGUGGCACUUACCGUUAUUUAAACUUGCCUGUGCCUUCCCUUGCACGCAUUUAUAAGACUGUUCUCUGUGCUGUCUCACCUGUUCAUACAGAUUGGUCAUGUUGCCCGAGACGUAGUGACUAAAACUUUGCAAGUUUUGCUGAGAAUACAUCCAUGGUCAUGCUCCUUUCAUUGUUGGCUAACAUAUUUGUCACUCUGUGGUCUUUGCCCUAAAAAUAACGUUUUUCUUAUGGCACCCUGCAGAACCUGUUAAUGCUUAUUAACAUUACAAUUAAGGUUAAGACUGUUGCUAUUGUAUUAGACCUAAACCUUUCACUGUCUGAGAUAAAAUUAUCCUUAAUUAUGACUAUAUAAUCUGUUAUUCCCCUAUUUAACCGUCAAAUGUUGUUUUUGAUUGUAAUUGCUGUGUACAUAAGCCUUUUCAGUUAUUAAUCAAUGUUAAUUUACACAGGUCCUGUUCUUGGAUGCAGCAACCAACAACCGUGCCAAUACAGCAUUCUCCUUUUUCCUUGAGGCCACUCGGUUACAUGGUGUUCCAUCAAGGGUUCGUGGAGAUCAAGGCAUUGAAAAUGUGGACAUUGCCCAUUUCAUGUUCGAGAGACGUGGAACCGGUCGAGCUAGCUUUAUCUCGGGAAAGAGUGUACACAAUCAAAGGAUUGAACGGAUGUGGCGAGAUGUGUGGAUGGCUGUGACUUGCAUCUUUUAUGAUGUGCUUCACACGCUCGAGGAAGAUGGUGUUUUGGACAUAGCAAACAUAAUGCACCUUUUCUGCGUGCAUUAUGUCUUCCUGCCUCGCCUUCGAUCAGCACUACA
Gadus macrocephalus (Pacific cod) is the source of this 922-nucleotide long non-coding RNA. RefSeq lists it as uncharacterized. The record is from RefSeq and is a predicted model, not a curated record. Lineage: Eukaryota; Metazoa; Chordata; Actinopteri; Gadiformes; Gadidae. The transcript has 3 exons.